UAGAAGAAUCGCACAGGUAGGCACCUUAUGCUGAAAAUUGUGUUUAGACACCUCCAAGUGAGACUGGUUCCUGUGUGAUGUGUAAGGGCCAUAGGGCUAUGCAGAUGUACCCCCUCUGAGGAUCUGUGUCUCCCCCUCCCCAAGUUUGGCCCUGUGUUAACGGGGCUCAGUUGCUCACAGCUGAAAUGCAGUUGCUACUGGGGAGGGGGACCUGGGAAUCCUGUUACACUCUGUCACUGCCCUGUUUAUAUCUGUUCAUGACAGAAACAGCUAGAACGCCAGAAGCAGGAGAUUGCAUCUGAAUUCAAGCAAGUGCGUCAUGUUUUGAAGCAGGGAGAGCAACUCAUGCGUAACCACGUGGAAGGCACCAUACAGGACCUUAGGAAGACAAGGAAUAAAAAUACUAAGGGGCUAUUACUGCUCGAUAACCACAUUGCUGAGAUAAAUCAGACGUGCCAGCAGCCGGUGAAUGAACUCCUCAAGGACAUUGGCAGCACCUUAAGCAGGUGUGAGCAGGUGAAAGGUGAAGAGGAGGCGCCUGUUGAUUCUUUGACUGAGCUGGAGAGCAGAGUGCAGGCUGUCUCUGAAAGCCAGAAAGUUCUAUGUGAUCUGCUGAAGACUUUCAGAGUGGAAUUGGCUCCAGAAUUGGGUCCUCUUGAAAACGUCUCGUCGGAGGUUCAGAGACAAGUGAGUGGUGAAGACCCAACAGAGGAUGUUCCCGAGAACUUUAAACAAGAGGACACUUCUGUUUGCCUGCUGGACCGUGAGGUAUUGUAUUCUGUGGCCGUUCGGGGAGCUAGGUGCCAGGAAUGGGCUUUAGUGGUCGUCAGAAAGUCUAGUGCAGAUCUGCAGUAG
RNAcentral lists this long non-coding RNA (855 nucleotides) under Chrysemys picta bellii (western painted turtle). RNAcentral's name for it is "lncRNA (ENSCPBG00000017883.1)". Lineage: Eukaryota; Metazoa; Chordata; Testudines; Emydidae. The record is from RNAcentral.